This is a non-coding RNA of Gymnopilus junonius, 89 nucleotides long. The record is from the annotation of a GenBank genome assembly. Lineage: Eukaryota; Fungi; Basidiomycota; Agaricomycetes; Agaricales; Galerinaceae.
UCCCCCUUAGCUCAGUGGUAGAGCGCGUCACUAGUAUUCCUGAUUAAUGCGAAAUGACGAGGUCAGUCGUUCAAGUCGGCUAGGGGGAA